AUUGAACGCUGGCGGCAGGCCUAACACAUGCAAGUCGAGCGGAUGAAGGGAGCUUGCUCCUGGAUUCAGCGGCGGACGGGUGAGUAAUGCCUAGGAAUCUGCCUGGUAGUGGGGGAUAACGUCCGGAAACGGGCGCUAAUACCGCAUACGUCCUAAGGGAGAAAGUGGGGGAUCUUCGGACCUCACGCUAUCAGAUGAGCCUAGGUCGGAUUAGCUAGUUGGUGGGGUAAAGGCCUACCAAGGCGACGAUCCGUAACUGGUCUGAGAGGAUGAUCAGUCACACCGGAACUGAGACACGGUCCAGACUCCUACGGGAGGCAGCAGUGGGGAAUAUUGGACAAAGGGCGAAAGCCUGAUCCAGCCAUGCCGCGUGUGUGAAGAAGGUCUUCGGAUUGUAAAGCACUUUAAGUUGGGAGGAAGGGCAGUAAGUUAAUACCUUGCUGUUUUGACGUUACCAACAGAAUAAGCACCGGCUAACUUCGUG
Molecule: ribosomal RNA, 484 nt
Filed under: uncultured bacterium
Lineage: Bacteria
Description: partial 16S ribosomal RNA
Rfam family: Bacterial small subunit ribosomal RNA
Source: RNAcentral